ACCCAAUCCCGACACGGGGAGGUAGUGACAAGAAAUACUGAUACAGGGUCCUAUCGGAUCUUGUAAUUGGAAUGAGUACAAUUUAAACCCAUUAACGAGGAACAACUAGAGGGCAAGUCUGGUGCCAGCAGCCGCGGUAAUUCCAGCUCUAGUAGCAUACAUUAAAAUUGUUGCAGUUAAAACGCCCGUAGUUGAAGUUUGGAUUUAAUCGCCCGGUCCGCCUCACUGCGAGAACUGGCUGCGAUCGAGUCUUUCUUCUUGGUAAACUGCAUAUCCUUUAUUGGGUGUGUUAGUGCACCAGGACUUUUACUUUGAAAAAAUUAGAGUGUUCAAAGCAGGCUUUUGCUCGGAUACCUUAGCAUGGAAUAAUAAAAUAUGACGAGUGGUUGUAUUUGUUGGUUUUCACGACUACCGUAAUGAUUGAUAGGGAUGGUCGGGGGCAUCGGUAUUCGAUCGUCA
This 459-nucleotide ribosomal RNA is filed under the name Appendiculina gregaria. RNAcentral describes it as "SSU rRNA". It matches the Rfam family "Eukaryotic small subunit ribosomal RNA", at positions 443 to 907 of the family's 1831-position model. The record is from RNAcentral. Lineage: Eukaryota; Fungi; Ascomycota; Laboulbeniomycetes; Laboulbeniales; Laboulbeniaceae.